Molecule: ribosomal RNA, 1278 nt
Filed under: Salmonella enterica
Lineage: Bacteria; Pseudomonadati; Pseudomonadota; Gammaproteobacteria; Enterobacterales; Enterobacteriaceae
Description: partial 23S ribosomal RNA
Rfam family: Bacterial large subunit ribosomal RNA
Source: RNAcentral
AGACCCGAAACCCGGUGAUCUAGCCAUGGGCAGGUUGAAGGUUGGGUAACACUAACUGGAGGACCGAACCGACUAAUGUUGAAAAAUUAGCGGAUGACCUGUGGCUGGGGGUGAAAGGCCAAUCAAACCGGGAGAUAGCUGGUUCUCCCCGAAAGCUAUUUAGGUAGCGCCUCGUGAAUUCAUCUCCGGGGGUAGAGCACUGUUUCGGCUAGGGGGCCAUCCCGGCUUACCAACCCGAUGCAAACUGCGAAUACCGGAGAAUGUUAUCACGGGAGACACACGGCGGGUGCUAACGUCCGUCGUGAAGAGGGAAACAACCCAGACCGCCAGCUAAGGUCCCAAAGUCAUGGUUAAGUGGGAAACGAUGUGGGAAGGCCCAGACAGCCAGGAUGUUGGCUUAGAAGCAGCCAUCAUUUAAAGAAAGCGUAAUAGCUCACUGGUCGAGUCGGCCUGCGCGGAAGAUGUAACGGGGCUAAACCAUGCACCGAAGCUGCGGCAGCGAACGUAUCACCCAAGACAACUUUACGGAGUUGGCGAUUGACGGAGCGAAGCGACGUCAAAGCGUUCAUUAAAGUCGAGUUGGCUUAGGGAUACGUUCGUUGGGUAGGGGAGCGUUCUGUAAGCCUGUGAAGGUGUGUCGUGAGGCAUGCUGGAGGUAUCAGAAGUGCGAAUGCUGACAUAAGUAACGAUAAAGCGGGUGAAAAGCCCGCUCGCCGGAAGACCAAGGGUUCCUGUCCAACGUUAAUCGGGGCAGGGUGAGUCGACCCCUAAGGCGAGGCCGAAAGGCGUAGUCGAUGGGAAACGGGUUAAUAUUCCCGUACUUGGUGUUACUGCGAAGGGGGGACGGAGAAGGCUAUGUUGGCCGGGCGACGGUUGUCCCGGUUUAAGCGUGUAGGUGUGUGUUCCAGGUAAAUCCGGUUCACUUUAACACUGAGGCGUGACGACGAGGCACUACGGUGCUGAAGCAACAAAUGCCCUGCUUCCAGGAAAAGCCUCUAAGCAUCAGGUAACACGAAAUCGUACCCCAAACCGACACAGGUGGUCAGGUAGAGAAUACCAAGGCGCUUGAGAGAACUCGGGUGAAGGAACUAGGCAAAAUGGUGCCGUAACUUCGGGAGAAGGCACGCUGACACGUAGGUGAAGUGAUUUACUCAUGGAGCUGAAGUCAGUCGAAGAUACCAGCUGGCUGCAACUGUUUAUUAAAAACACAGCACUGUGCAAACACGAAAGUGGACGUAUACGGUGUGACGCCUGCCCGGUGCCGGAAGGUUAAUUGAU